GGGAAGUAAGUUGGUGAAGUUCUCAACUUCUGAAAUUAGACCAUAUUUGUUAGCCAAACUUUAUUUUAAUGUGCUAAUGGAGUUGAAAUUUCAUUGCCAAAAUGGUUCUUCAGAAUAUUUAUCUUCGAUUAUUCAAAACAAUAUUUUUUGCUGUGUUUAAAAUCAGUGCAAAAUACCAACAGAAAAGAAUUACCAUUCAUGAAGGAGAAAAAGCUGCUGUGUAUGUGUCUAUUGAGGUGUUCAUCUGUUUUUGUUGUCUCUUUGAGAACCUUUUUGCACGCAAUCUGUUUAGCCUAGUGAAUAAUUUUGUAUUUCAAAUGUGAUUACUUAAUGUUGUCUGGUUUGACAUAGGAGUAGUCUAUAUGGUAUAGACUUCCAUGUUACUGUACUAAAAGUCUCUUAAUAAUCCAUUUAGGUUCUAUUUAUCUCUUACCAUUUAACAUGAUAUACGAUAAUAAAGUUUGAUAGAGGUGACUUUAUUGUAUUACCAUUUUGUGAUUAAUGAUGAAUUCCUUAUCCAUGGAUGCACAAUAAAACUAGGAAAUAGCAACCUGAUAACAUGUACCUCUAUUACUCUCUUUUACUAUUAGCACAUGUACUUCCUUGAAUCCUUGCUGACCCUUAUGAUGGGGAAAUCUAAGAUAAACUCAGUUCUUAAUGGACUAUAUAGAAACAAGUGGUGGGAUUCACAUGUAGGUCUCGUAGGUAUUUAUAAUUCAUGAUGAACUAAGUCUACUCAAGAAUUUCUUCUUAUGAUGUUCAACAACUGGCCCUUAAUUCUCCUUCUAAAGUCUUUCACUCGUCCUGUUGUAUUCAGGACUUCGCUUUUUAAUUGAUUUUCUGCUGAUGUUGAAUAUUGUUUUAUUUUCUAGCUAUUGUUAACAGAGUAUUAUCAAAUUUGGAUUGACAGGCUGUGUGCAAUGCUUAUUGCGGU
RNAcentral lists this unclassified non-coding RNA (934 nucleotides) under Hevea brasiliensis (rubber tree). Lineage: Eukaryota; Viridiplantae; Streptophyta; Magnoliopsida; Malpighiales; Euphorbiaceae. The record is from RNAcentral.